RNAcentral lists this ribosomal RNA (1455 nucleotides) under Klebsiella pneumoniae. RNAcentral describes it as "16S ribosomal RNA". It matches the Rfam family "Bacterial small subunit ribosomal RNA". The record is from RNAcentral. Lineage: Bacteria; Pseudomonadati; Pseudomonadota; Gammaproteobacteria; Enterobacterales; Enterobacteriaceae.
ACGCUGGCGGCAGGCCUAACACAUGCAAGUCGAGCGGUAGCACAGAGAGCUUGCUCUCGGGUGACGAGCGGCGGACGGGUGAGUAAUGUCUGGGAAACUGCCUGAUGGAGGGGGAUAACUACUGGAAACGGUAGCUAAUACCGCAUAACGUCGCAAGACCAAAGUGGGGGACCUUCGGGCCUCAUGCCAUCAGAUGUGCCCAGAUGGGAUUAGCUAGUAGGUGGGGUAACGGCUCACCUAGGCGACGAUCCCUAGCUGGUCUGAGAGGAUGACCAGCCACACUGGAACUGAGACACGGUCCAGACUCCUACGGGAGGCAGCAGUGGGGAAUAUUGCACAAUGGGCGCAAGCCUGAUGCAGCCAUGCCGCGUGUGUGAAGAAGGCCUUCGGGUUGUAAAGCACUUUCAGCGGGGAGGAAGGCGAUAAGGUUAAUAACCUUGUCGAUUGACGUUACCCGCAGAAGAAGCACCGGCUAACUCCGUGCCAGCAGCCGCGGUAAUACGGAGGGUGCAAGCGUUAAUCGGAAUUACUGGGCGUAAAGCGCACGCAGGCGGUCUGUCAAGUCGGAUGUGAAAUCCCCGGGCUCAACCUGGGAACUGCAUUCGAAACUGGCAGGCUAGAGUCUUGUAGAGGGGGGUAGAAUUCCAGGUGUAGCGGUGAAAUGCGUAGAGAUCUGGAGGAAUACCGGUGGCGAAGGCGGCCCCCUGGACAAAGACUGACGCUCAGGUGCGAAAGCGUGGGGAGCAAACAGGAUUAGAUACCCUGGUAGUCCACGCCGUAAACGAUGUCGAUUUGGAGGUUGUGCCCUUGAGGCGUGGCUUCCGGAGCUAACGCGUUAAAUCGACCGCCUGGGGAGUACGGCCGCAAGGUUAAAACUCAAAUGAAUUGACGGGGGCCCGCACAAGCGGUGGAGCAUGUGGUUUAAUUCGAUGCAACGCGAAGAACCUUACCUGGUCUUGACAUCCACAGAACUUUCCAGAGAUGGAUUGGUGCCUUCGGGAACUGUGAGACAGGUGCUGCAUGGCUGUCGUCAGCUCGUGUUGUGAAAUGUUGGGUUAAGUCCCGCAACGAGCGCAACCCUUAUCCUUUGUUGCCAGCGGUUAGGCCGGGAACUCAAAGGAGACUGCCAGUGAUAAACUGGAGGAAGGUGGGGAUGACGUCAAGUCAUCAUGGCCCUUACGACCAGGGCUACACACGUGCUACAAUGGCAUAUACAAAGAGAAGCGACCUCGCGAGAGCAAGCGGACCUCAUAAAGUAUGUCGUAGUCCGGAUUGGAGUCUGCAACUCGACUCCAUGAAGUCGGAAUCGCUAGUAAUCGUAGAUCAGAAUGCUACGGUGAAUACGUUCCCGGGCCUUGUACACACCGCCCGUCACACCAUGGGAGUGGGUUGCAAAAGAAGUAGGUAGCUUAACCUUCGGGAGGGCGCUUACCACUUUGUGAUUCAUGACUGGGG